This 340-nucleotide long non-coding RNA is filed under the name Mytilus galloprovincialis (Mediterranean mussel). Lineage: Eukaryota; Metazoa; Mollusca; Bivalvia; Mytilida; Mytilidae. The record is from RNAcentral.
CUUUUUUCUUUUCUUUCUAAUCAGAGAUAUUAAAAUGUUUACCAAAUCAGAAAACUGCUCAACUGGAGGGUUAUCAGGUUCAACUGCUCAGGCUGAACUGUUGUGCCUUCAUACUUAAUUUCCUGGUUCACAUGUAGAACUGCUUGGCUCUCGCCAACAGCAUGCACAGUAUCAAAUGCAUCUACAUUUCCACUAUUUCUUAUUAUAUCCCCAUAAAUAACCUUUUUUAAUUCUGGAUCUGUAAUUAAUAAUUCUGUACUCAUAAUAUAUUAAAACCUUUAGUUAAAAAGAAUUUAUACAAUGUACAUAUGUAUAUAAUAAAAUAAAACAAAAAUGCAUC